AUUUCAGAUCUAAGUCAUUUUCAUAAAAUUGGGUUCGGGCUUAAGUAGCUCAAUUAGGUCUAGCGGUUGAUCAAACUGAAUCAAAAGUUGGUUAGGUGGGAUCAUGAAAGCUAAUAAUUGACCAGCCUAAUAGGAUUAAGUCUAGGUCAAGGUCGAAUCAUAUUUAGAUGUGACUCGAUCAAGUUAAGACCUAAUUUGGCUC
This 202-nucleotide long non-coding RNA is filed under the name Elaeis guineensis (African oil palm). RNAcentral's name for it is "long non-coding RNA (EGUI_LNC066843)". Lineage: Eukaryota; Viridiplantae; Streptophyta; Magnoliopsida; Arecales; Arecaceae. The record is from RNAcentral.